This 205-nucleotide ribosomal RNA is filed under the name Chloropicon mariensis. RNAcentral describes it as "partial Bacterial large subunit ribosomal RNA". It matches the Rfam family "Bacterial large subunit ribosomal RNA", at positions 1125 to 1326 of the family's 2925-position model. Lineage: Eukaryota; Viridiplantae; Chlorophyta; Chloropicophyceae; Chloropicales; Chloropicaceae. The record is from RNAcentral.
AAAGAGUGCGUAAUAGCUCACUGGUCGAGUGUGCCGCGGCGCCGACAAUCCACCGGGGCUCAAGCCCGUGACCGAAGCCGCGGAUAGAAGACGAGAGUCUUGUAUGGUAGGGGAGCGUCCCCGUCAGCAGUGAAGCGAAGGUGGGAACCGACGUGGAGCGGCGGGGAGUGCGAAUGUCGGCAUGAGUAGCGAGAGGGGGGGGCGA